CUGCCUCUGCCACCGCGAGCACCCAGACCCAGCCACCACCACCACCCACGGCAGCGGGAACCCGCUGCCAAGCGCCAGACCAAGGCAGCCCGCGGCCUCCGCGUCGGCCCGCCCUCUCCCUCGGCCGCCGUCUCGCCAGUCACCGCCCGCGCUGCGCGGCCGCCACCGACGCGCCAGAAGAAGCCAACCUGGCCGCCCGUGCCUCACGCCCCCGAUCCAACAGCGCGCAAGCCGACCCGGCCGCGCUCGCGCGAGCGGCGAGCGCAGCGCCACCGCGCCUCCAAUUAGCGAUCUCGGCCCGCCACGCUUGGGAAACAUGCGGUCAACUGGCCUCCUCCUGUCCCAUGGCACUGCCGGCCUGCCGUGCCUUCCAGGUUUCCCGGCGCCACCGUCGCGCCGGCCACAGCGGAGCAGCGCUGGCGCCGCGCCGGCAGCACUGCAACGCUUGGCAAGCGAGCUCCCACGGCCCGGCGUGGCGUGCAGCGCCGGCCCCAACCGCGGCCGUGCGCCCGCGCUCCGACCGUCCGGUUCGGCCGCCUGCCGCGACCGCCGGACCCUGCCUUCCUCGCGGCGAGAGCCUUCCCUCCUCCCCUUGAAGGCCUGAACCCUGCCGCACCUCGGGUCGCCUUCUCCGCGCCAUCCCGCGCUGGCGCCUCUGUUCCGACCCGCCGAAUCCAUGGCUCCGCGCGCGGACGCAGAACCAUCAUCGAUCAGCGCCACCCGCCCAGCGCCUCCUCUCGCCGCCGAGAUCGCGGGAUGGGAGCCCCGGAACCGACUCGAUCCAGGCCUGCUGCAAAGAGUCUGGGGAUUCUUGAAGCGCCCGUGCCCCCUUGAGAUGUUCAUACUGAUACGGACACUUCGCAACAGCACCGAAAACAGGAUGGAAACGGAACAUAUUCGUCCAUUCGUGGUUGAGACAGCACUUAUGUGCAAUUUGAUUGUUGGAGGAAGCACCAUCAGCACCUACAAUGCAUUUGUGUGAAGAAAAUGAAGUUCAUGCGCUGGUGCAUUUAUGAUAGUUCGUGCAGAUUGCUUACUUCAACAUUUCAACCCUACUGACCCUAGCAGUGUGAACUGAACAUGUAUCUGCCUAUAAAAUGUUCAAUGGUUUCCUAUAAAUCUGGUGAAGAAGGAUAAAACUGUAAACUUCCAAAAAAGGCUGAAGUGGAAUAGGAAAAGAAAUUGAGGAUAAGACCCUCUAGGAUAGGCUGUCACAGGCUCACAAGUUCUGUGCAUGUCUAUUCUUCUGGUAACUUUUAAGGCACUUAACUUUUUCCAGCUUGGCAUUAUCACAUUCUAGGCUGUUUUCUGCUAGUCUGCCCACGUUACACAUAAGAAGCAUUUUUGGCACCUCCAACCCAAUAAAUUAAUAAUAUCCGCUUUGACCAUAUUGGUAGCUUCACUCUUCAUUUUUCUUUUUUGCAACAUUUGUCCGUUUCCUAACUUCUGGUGCUUGCAGCAUAGGUACCCCAAAUCUUGAUAAAAGAAACCAAGAGAAAAUAGAAUGUGAAAGAGAAGGGAGAAAGGUAUUUUAAAAUUGUGAAACCAUCUCACAACUACAUAUUGAAACAUUUGAACUUCAGUUUUCUAAGAUGAUAAUUGCAGUUUAGUGAUCUGAACCAAAAUUACACGAACUUAUAUGCAAUUAGGCAUUCAACUUCUAUCGUUAAUUCAUUGUUAUGAUGAUAAGUGGGAAAUUGUCCUGGAUACUGCUGCAACCAGAAAUGGGAAAAAAAACAUUGCAUCCAAAUGUAUGAAGAAAGUACCAACAAGAUUAAAUGUGUCAUCAGGUCACUUGAUAUAGUAAGAAUUUGGAAGUGAAAUAAAUAUAAUACCUAGAAGAAAAUCUCAGAGACAAACAAAAGAUUGGUUCAACAAGAAGAAGUUCCCCAUUUCUCUUUUCUUUAUAUAUGCUUUUCACACUGCAGUUUUAGGUUCCAGUGGCACAUAUAUCGGAGGGGAUGAAGAGUUGAAUCAAGAGGAGCAGUGGGUAGUACUCUGAUAUGGAAACUUAUACUAAUACAGCGCUGCCCUACAUCCCAUGAAAAGUAACACUAACCUGGGUAGUUCAUUUAUCCAGCCUAUGAAAAUAGUGUACUGGAAAUUUACUGUUUUCUUGAGUCUACAAAAGAUUAAGCUGUACCAUCAAGUAUUUAGUGUCUAAGAGAUCAAGUGCUAGCCCCUAUUAAUAGAUAAGACUGCAUCCUUAAGAGUUGCAACACAAAUAUAUAGCUGGGCAAAAUAGUACUUCAUUCUUUCAGUUAUAAAUAUGCCAGAACCAUGACCACCUACAGAUAUAUCCAGGGCAGUGACAAACAUGUCAGAAAUUGUAGACAAGGAAUGAAUCAAAUAUUUUGAAAAAAAAAUCUUAGAGAUUGUGCUUAACUGGAGUAGUAACAGAAACACAACUUUUUGAGGGGAUUAAAAAGAAAAAAACAGAAAAAAGGAAGGAAGCAAUAAACUCUCACCUAGUGCCAGAAUUUUGUCAGGAUCCUCCCUCGAUUUUUUGGAGAAGGUAGGAGCGUUUCCUUGGCCAAUUAAGGAGGAUUACUCCUCCCCUCGUUGAGCUGUAUCCAAUAUAGAUACCCCUACCCUUUGGCUCAGCACAUCUUCCCUUUUUUUUUUGAACCUGGAACUCAGCACAUCUUCCCUGGAUCCCGUCUUCCUCCUGCAUUCCCCCCAGACGCAGAUCCUGCAGCAAUCUUCCCCCAAAGCGCGACCAGGCAAAGGGAGCUAUUGUUGCCUGCACUAUGGCCUCCUCCCAGGUUCCGAAACUGUCGGAGACUGCUCUCGGAGGCCUUUGCAAGGUGUGUAAAGAACCUGAACAGAAGGAAAAGAUGUUCCUGAUCUGUGGCCACUCUCUUUGCAUGUACAAGUACUACCACAUCCGGUGCCUGAGUCCUGAACAGAUCGCUAGCAAACAGCAAAUAGGUAAACAAUGCUGGUACUGCCCAUCAUGCCUCUGCCGGCGUUGUUUCUGUGACAUGGACGAUAAUAAGAUCAUCAUGUGUGACGGCUGUGAUGAGGCCUAUCACCUCUACUGCCUGAGUCCUCCUCUCACUUCCGUGCCCAAGGGGCAUUGGUACUGCCAGUCCUGCAUUGAGGCGAAGGCACGGAAGAGGGAGGUGAAGAAGUACGAGAAGAGGAUCCUGCAGCUCCACGGGAAGCGUGAUCGUGCUUUGGUGAAGAGUGACAAGUAUGUGGGCAUGAACCUGCUGCUGGAGGCCUUGGCGAAGAUGGCUGAGGAGGAGAAAAUGGCUGCGAAGCUGAAACGCGAUGAGGAGGCAGCCGCCGCCGCUAUGGAGAUGCUGAGAGGUGAUGAGGAGGAGGCGACCACCGCAGAGUAGGAGGCAUGGAGAUUGUGAGCAGGUGGAUUUGUGUUCCCUGCCAUGAGUUCAAACCAGCACAAGGUUUCUGUCCGUGGAGCAGCUCCCAGCUGAAGACUUGAUGGUCAGCAGCAGGGACGAGCGGCCGAGGGUCUCUGAAACGUGUGCCGUUUGAGCUGGUGGUAGAGAAUAUGAGUCCGUCAGGAUUGCUCUUAUCCUCUGUAAUCGUUUGUUUUUAUCUUGGCGAGGUCAUACUUGACGAACUUGCCGGCGUCGUAACUUUAGAAGACUGUGAGCACCCUUGAUACCUUUGCUGGGUACUUGAACUGAAAUGAAAUGAUGGAUAUUGGUAGACUAAA
Panicum virgatum (switchgrass) is the source of this 3685-nucleotide RNA transcript. It is a transcript of the gene named PHD finger protein EHD3-like, with no coding region annotated. The record is from RefSeq and is a predicted model, not a curated record. NCBI's taxonomy places the organism in Eukaryota, Viridiplantae, Streptophyta, Magnoliopsida, Poales, Poaceae. The transcript has 5 exons.